CACGGGAGACACACGGCGGGUGCUAACGUCCGUCGUGAAGAGGGAAACAACCCAGACCGCCAGCUAAGGUCCCAAAGUCAUGGUUAAGUGGGAAACGAUGUGGGAAGGCCCAGACAGCCAGGAUGUUUGCUGAGUUAUCCAAUAGUCGGUUUUGCAAAGUGACAAAGCUAUCUGAUAGCAUCACUCGUUUCUUUUCUUCAUCCUGCGUCCGUAAGUUUUCAACUGUCAGGUAGUUAUCAAAAAACGCUUUAA
Molecule: ribosomal RNA, 252 nt
Filed under: Salmonella enterica subsp. enterica serovar Montevideo
Lineage: Bacteria; Pseudomonadati; Pseudomonadota; Gammaproteobacteria; Enterobacterales; Enterobacteriaceae
Description: partial 23S ribosomal RNA
Rfam family: Bacterial large subunit ribosomal RNA
Source: RNAcentral